This 505-nucleotide ribosomal RNA is filed under the name uncultured bacterium. Its description in RNAcentral is "bacterial SSU rRNA". It matches the Rfam family "Bacterial small subunit ribosomal RNA", at positions 28 to 526 of the family's 1533-position model. The record is from RNAcentral.
GAUGAACGCUAGCGGUAGGCUUAACACAUGCAAGUCGUGGGGCAGCGCGAAGUAGCAAUACUUUGGCGGCGACCGGCAAACGGGUGCGGAACACGUACGCAACCUUCCUCAGAGCGGGGAAUAGCCUCCCGAAGGAGAGAUUAAUACCCCAUAGUAUCUCGAAAAUGCAUGGUUUUGAGAUUAAAGCUUCGGAACUUUGAGAUGGGCGUGCGGCUGUUUAGGUAGUUGGUAGGGUAACGGCCUACCAAGCCAACGAUCAGUAGCUGAUGUGAGAGCAUGAUCAGCCACACGGGCACUGAGACACGGGCCCGACUCCUACGGGAGGCAGCAGUGAGGAAUAUUGGUCAAUGGAGGAAACUCUGAACCAGCCAUGCCGCGUGAAGGAUGAAGGUCCUCUGGAUUGUAAACUUCUUUUAUAGAAGAAGAAACCCCAUUAUUCUUAAUGGGUUGACGGUACUCUAUGAAUAAGCACCGGCUAACUCCGUGCCAGCCGCCGCGGUAAGAC